GGAAGCCACGGUGAGGAGAAUCCUUCAUUCUCUGCCCCUAUAGAGAAAUCCCUAAGGAGAAAAGCAUUCAGAUAAUGGUCACUUUAUACCUGAAUGACGUGUGGACCUGGUUACAGCUGGAGAGAAAGUCAUAUCCAAGAGCCAAGUUAAUUGCAGCAACCUCUUCUCUUUAGGUCCCUACUUAGCCACUCAUCACAUUUCCCCUCUUCAAAUCCAAGCAUCUCUUAUGUCAAUAACAGUGUCUCCCAUAGAAGAUGCCAUGAUGAGCUUCCCGGACAUCAUAGCUGAACUCCCUCCAGAAAUCAUCUUCAGCUGAAAGGAGCCACCUCACUCAAGGUUACAACCCCUCCCCCAGGCCUUCUACUGUAUCUUGACCUCCCACCAUCUCCUGUUUCUCAGAUGAAGAAACCAAGGCACAAAAGCUUUAAGUGGCUCUACUUAAGUCAUAUUGCCAGAAGUGGCAGCGCUAAGGCUAGAUCCCAGAACCCCAGAUGUUUCAUGUCCCACUCCACAACAUGAACUAGCUCUCCUGCUCAGUGUGCUCAGAAUCAGCUGGACUCUGGCUGCCUUUUCCAAACGGGAUCAGUGGAAUGGCAUUCUCACUUAGAUCGCAGAACUCCUCACCAAAUAUAAAACUGAAAAUGUAGGCCACCUGCCCAUGUGAUUGUAUUUCAUAACUCAGAACUAACAAUAGCUUUCAGCUUGCUU
Molecule: long non-coding RNA, 708 nt
Filed under: Equus asinus (donkey)
Lineage: Eukaryota; Metazoa; Chordata; Mammalia; Perissodactyla; Equidae
Description: lncRNA (ENSEASG00005029218.1)
Source: RNAcentral